CCAAAUGUCAUAAUUCUUUCCAUCUACCUUAUCACCCGUGGUGAGAUCAGCUAUGAUGGUUUUUGAAAGCCAUUUCACUACAUUCGAAAAAAUAAAUUUGAACAUUAGGCACAUUUUCUAAAAAAUUAUCAAGAUUGAAACACUACCCUCGACACAACGGGAUCGAAAAUUUCGCUAUACUCGUAAUCAUCACCCAGUGCCAGUUCAAAUAUUACAAUCUCAUUAAUUUUUCUAUUAAUUUUGAAACUUAUCCAAAAGUUGGAACUCAUCCAUUUUAAAAGAACACAUCCUUUUUUUUGAAAACAUAUUAAUAUAUUGAGAACUUAUCUCAUAAUAUCAUCAUACAGAUAAAAAAAUAAGUACUUAUACCAAAAUUUAAUUUGAAAAAUGUCGAUGCUGCGCAAAAUACACUCCUUUAUAUGGCUUUAGUUAUUACAUCACUUUUUAUAGAAUAAAACUUACUACAUCACUAUAAAGAUGUAUAUCUGAAAAAGAAAAUAUACUACAGACAAAUACAAGAAAAUUUUUUUGACAUCUUUUUAAUAUAAAAUUG
Molecule: long non-coding RNA, 553 nt
Filed under: Ananas comosus (pineapple)
Lineage: Eukaryota; Viridiplantae; Streptophyta; Magnoliopsida; Poales; Bromeliaceae
Description: long non-coding RNA (ACOM_LNC001254)
Source: RNAcentral